RNAcentral lists this ribosomal RNA (245 nucleotides) under Haptolina brevifila. RNAcentral describes it as "partial Bacterial small subunit ribosomal RNA". It matches the Rfam family "Bacterial small subunit ribosomal RNA", at positions 103 to 349 of the family's 1533-position model. The record is from RNAcentral. Lineage: Eukaryota; Haptophyta; Prymnesiales; Prymnesiaceae.
CGGGUGAGUAACACGUGAGUAACCUGCCCUUGACUUUGGGAUAACUUCAGGAAACUGGGGCUAAUACCGGAUAGGAGCUCCUGCUGCAUGGUGGGGGUUGGAAAGUUUCGGCGGUUGGGGAUGGACUCGCGGCUUAUCAGCUUGUUGGUGGGGUAGUGGCUUACCAAGGCUUUGACGGGUAGCCGGCCUGAGAGGGUGACCGGCCACAUUGGGACUGAGAUACGGCCCAGACUCCUACGGGAGGC